UGGGGAAUAUUGCACAAUGGGGGAAACCCUGAUGCAGCAACGCCGCGUGCGGGAUGACGGCCUUCGGGUUGUAAACCGCUUUCAGCCAUGACGAAGCUUUUGUGACGGUAGUGGCAGAAGAAGCACCGGCUAACUACGUGCCAGCAGCCGCGGUGAUACGUAGGGUGCGAGCGUUGUCCGGAAUUAUUGGGCGUAAAGAGCUUGUAGGCGGUUUGUCGCGUCGAAAGUGUAGACUCAGUGCUUAACGCUGAGCCUGCUUUCGAUACGGGCUGACUAGAGGAAGGUAGGGGAGAAUGGAAUUCCCGGUGGAGCGGUGGAAUGCGCAGAUAUCGGGAGGAACACCAGUGGCGAAGGCGGUUCUCUGGACCUUUCCUGACGCUGAGAAGCGAAAGCGUGGGUAGCAAACAGG
Molecule: ribosomal RNA, 409 nt
Filed under: bacterium
Lineage: Bacteria
Description: partial 16S ribosomal RNA
Rfam family: Bacterial small subunit ribosomal RNA
Source: RNAcentral